This 253-nucleotide ribosomal RNA is filed under the name uncultured bacterium. RNAcentral's name for it is "partial 16S ribosomal RNA". It matches the Rfam family "Bacterial small subunit ribosomal RNA", at positions 524 to 776 of the family's 1533-position model. The record is from RNAcentral.
UACAGAGGCCUCGAGCGUUAGGCGGAAUCACUGGGCUUAAAGCGUGUGUAGGUGGAUGCCUAAGUACCUUGUGAAAUCCCACGGCUUAACCGUGGAACUGCUGGGUAUACUGGGCGUCUUGAGCCACUCAGGGGCUACCGGAACAAGCGGUGGAGCGGUGAAAUGCGUAGAUAUCGGGAGAAAUACCGAUGGCGAAGGCGGGUCUCUGGACAGUUCCUGACACUGAGACACGAAGGCCAGGGGAGCAAACGGG